AUGAACGCUGGCGGCGUGCCUAAUACAUGCAAGUCGAGCGAACGGACGAGAAGCUUGCUUCUCUGAUGUUAGCGGCGGACGGGUGAGUAACACGUGGAUAACCUACCUAUAAGACUGGGAUAACUUCGGGAAACCGGAGCUAAUACAGGAUAAUAUUUUGAACCGCAUGGUUCAAAAGUGAAAGACGGUCUUGCUGUCACUUAUAGAUGGAUCCGCGCUGCAUUAGCUAGUUGGUAAGGUAACGGCUUACCAAGGCAACGAUGCAUAGCCGACCUGAGAGGGUGAUCGGCCACACUGGAACUGAGACACGGUCCAGACUCCUACGGGAGGCAGCAGUAGGGAAUCUUCCGCAAUGGGCGAAAGCCUGACGGAGCAACGCCGCGUGAGUGAUGAAGGUCUUCGGAUCGUAAAACUCUGUUAUUAGGGAAGAACAUAUGUGUAAGUAACUGUGCACAUCUUGACGGUACCUAAUCAGAAAGCCACGGCUAACUACGUG
This 496-nucleotide ribosomal RNA is filed under the name uncultured bacterium. RNAcentral describes it as "partial 16S ribosomal RNA". It matches the Rfam family "Bacterial small subunit ribosomal RNA", at positions 29 to 507 of the family's 1533-position model. The record is from RNAcentral.